This is a transfer RNA of 71 nucleotides. It matches the Rfam family "tRNA". Rfam says of the family: Transfer RNA (tRNA) molecules are approximately 80 nucleotides in length. Their secondary structure includes four short double-helical elements and three loops (D, anti-codon, and T loops). Further hydrogen bonds mediate the characteristic L-shaped molecular structure. tRNAs have two regions of fundamental functional importance: the anti-codon, which is responsible for specific mRNA codon recognition, and the 3' end, to which the tRNAs corresponding amino acid is attached (by aminoacyl-tRNA synthetases). tRNAs cope with the degeneracy of the genetic code in two manners: having more than one tRNA (with a specific anti-codon) for a particular amino acid; and 'wobble' base-pairing, i.e. permitting non-standard base-pairing at the 3rd anti-codon position. The record is from Rfam.
GGGGUUGUGGUCUAGUGGUAUGAUACCUGCUUUGCACGCAGUUGGCCCGGGUUCGAUUCCUGGCAACUCCA